This 26-nucleotide non-coding RNA is filed under the name Rattus norvegicus (Norway rat). Lineage: Eukaryota; Metazoa; Chordata; Mammalia; Rodentia; Muridae. The record is from RNAcentral.
UGUGUUGGAUGGAGUUUUGUUGGGAC